RNAcentral lists this ribosomal RNA (592 nucleotides) under uncultured bacterium. RNAcentral's name for it is "bacterial SSU rRNA". It matches the Rfam family "Bacterial small subunit ribosomal RNA", at positions 334 to 917 of the family's 1533-position model. The record is from RNAcentral.
UACUCCUACGGGAGGCAGCAGUAGGGAAUCUUCGGCAAUGGGGGCAACCCUGACCGAGCAACGCCGCGUGAGUGAAGAAGGUUUUCGGAUCGUAAAGCUCUGUUGUAAGUCAAGAACGAGUGUGAGAGUGGAAAGUUCACACUGUGACGGUAGCUUACCAGAAAGGGACGGCUAACUACGUGCCAGCAGCCGCGGUAAUACGUAGGUCCCGAGCGUUGUCCGGAUUUAUUGGGCGUAAAGCGAGCGCAGGCGGUUUGAUAAGUCUGAAGUUAAAGGCUGUGGCUCAACCAUAGUUCGCUUUGGAAACUGUCAAACUUGAGUGCAGAAGGGGAGAGUGGAAUUCCAUGUGUAGCGGUGAAAUGCGUAGAUAUAUGGAGGAACACCGGUGGCGAAAGCGGCUCUCUGGUCUGUAACUGACGCUGAGGCUCGAAAGCGUGGGGAGCGAACAGGAUUAGAUACCCUGGUAGUCCACGCCGUAAACGAUGAGUGCUAGGUGUUGGAUCCUUUCCGGGAUUCAGUGCCGCAGCUAACGCAUUAAGCACUCCGCCUGGGGAGUACGACCGCAAGGUUGAAACUCAAAGGAAUUGACGGA